Molecule: small RNA, 840 nt
Filed under: Pan troglodytes (chimpanzee)
Lineage: Eukaryota; Metazoa; Chordata; Mammalia; Primates; Hominidae
Description: processed transcript
Source: RNAcentral
AGGGCUUGGGGCCUGGGAGGCGCCGCGCGCACGGCGCCGGCUUCGCGGGAGGAGCCCCAGGCCCGCGAGCGCAGGCGCCCCGCCUCUCCCAGGGCGCUGCGGGCCACCGGCUCGGCCCUGCGCGGCGGGAUCUCGGGGCCGCACGGAGCGGGAGGCCGGGCGCCAUGGCGAGGGCCCCGCAGCCCCGGCGCGGCCCCGCGGCGCCCGGGAACGCCCUGCGCGCCCUGCUGCGCUGCAACCUGCCCCCCGGCGCCCAGCGCGUGGUGGUCUCCGCCGUGCUGGCGCUCCUGGUUCUCAUCAACGUCGUACUGAUCUUCCUGCUGGCCUUCCGCUGAGCGGCCGCGCAGGGCGCCGCGCCGGGCUCAUCAGCGAUGGCAGUGUGGUCUGCGCUGAAGCACUCUGGGACCAUGUCACCAUGGACGACCAGGAGCUGGGCUUCAAAGCUGGGGACGUCAUCGAAGUGAUGGAUGCCACCAACAGAGAGUGGUGGUGGGGCCGGGUCGCCGAUGGCGAGGGCUGGUUUCCAGCCAGCUUCGUUCGGCCCCGGGAGUGGGAACCAUGACUUACACCUGAAGAAGUUGAGGCACGGUCAAGUUAUUAGCCCUGGAGAUAGCAGAGAGGGGACCUGGAUUCCAUCUAAGGGGGUCUCCAGUCUUCAAGGAAGGAAUCCAGGUGCAGUCUCCAAAAGGCCUGGCUCAGGGCGUCCAAGCUGAGGGCCGUCCGGCGGGGAGGUCCCAGGCCCUGGUGUUCAGAUGCUCCUCCUGCCCCAGGUCCCCUGGGAAACUGUCCACUCCGCACCCUAAGCCUUUCCCCAAGAUGCAUGUUAGCCAGCGGGCGCGC